RNAcentral lists this ribosomal RNA (520 nucleotides) under uncultured Glomus. RNAcentral describes it as "SSU rRNA". It matches the Rfam family "Eukaryotic small subunit ribosomal RNA", at positions 569 to 1093 of the family's 1831-position model. The record is from RNAcentral. Lineage: Eukaryota; Fungi; Glomeromycota; Glomeromycetes; Glomerales; Glomeraceae.
AGCAGCCGCGGUAAUUCCAGCUCCAAUAGCGUAUAUUAAAGUUGUUGCAGUUAAAAAGCUCGUAGUUGAAUUUCGAGAUCGGUUUAUUGGUCGUGCUAUUGUACGUACUGGUAUUACCGGUUUCUCCUUUCUGACGAACCUUAAUGCCAUUAAUUUGGUGUUUUGGGAAAUCAGGACUGUUACUUUGAAAAAUUAGAGUGUUUAAAGCAGGCUCACGCUUGAAUACAUUAGCAUGGAAUAACGGAAUAGGACGUUUGAUUCUAUUUUGUUGGUUUCUAGGAUCGACGUAAUGAUUAAUAGGGAUAGUUGGGGGCAUUAGUAUUCAAUUGUCAGAGGUGAAAUUCUUGGAUUUAUUGAAGACUAACUACUGCGAAAGCAUUUGCCAAGGAUGUUUUCAUUAAUCAAGAACGAAAGUUAGGGGAUCGAAGACGAUCAGAUACCGUCGUAGUCUUAACCAUAAACUAUGCCGACUAGGGAUCGGAUGAUGUUAAUUUUUAAUGACUCAUUCGGCGCCUUACGG